RNAcentral lists this long non-coding RNA (1245 nucleotides) under Piliocolobus tephrosceles (Ugandan red Colobus). RNAcentral describes it as "lncRNA (ENSPTEG00000002565.1)". Lineage: Eukaryota; Metazoa; Chordata; Mammalia; Primates; Cercopithecidae. The record is from RNAcentral.
GCCCCAAUUCAUUAUGCCCCAAUUCAUUACGCCUCAAUUCGUUACGUUUUAAUUUUUUUUAGCAAAUUUUUUAACGUAUAAGAUAGUUGAGCAAUAUGAAAAACACAUUGAAUAAUGUUUUAGUAGUUUAUUUAAAAAAAAAAACAGAAAUUUAUUUCGAUGCAUCAAUAAAAAAAAUAUGAACCAUUCAGGUUUGUCUACUUGCACGUAUUGUUAUAGAGGUAUAGAUGGCUUGCCAUUUUACCAUCCCCUUUGGAAAGAGUAUCCAAUGUGUUUGUACUGCAAAGAAAAUUUAAAAAAUUGUGUAUCUUGUGAAAAAAAAAUAAGACAACGAACACAUACGUAUAUAUCUGCUUGCUGCCACACAUUUAUUACUGACUUAUGUGACAACUGUACCUAUCUACCUUUAAUUUGUUGUAAUAAAAAUGUAGAUUCUAUAAUUGCUAAAAUUUUUUAUUUUUAUGAUGCCUUUUUUGAUAUAAAAAUGUCUAAAAGUUAUAUUUUUUUUCAAAAUAUUUUUACAUUUAAUAAAAUGGAAUUUAAUGAAGUAAAUCAUAAAUAUACAUUUUCACAUAAAGUCUAUAGAUAUGCAAAGUUGGCUAAAAGUGAUUAUUUAGCUAGUAAAAAACAAGAUCGUAUGAAUAUGGAUUUUUUAGUUAACGAAUGUGUAAAGAUAUAUAAUAAACAAAAUAGUAAAAAUGACACAAGUACAAUUUUACAAAGCAAUAAAACACAAUUAACAUUAAACGAAUCAAUAAAUUCAGAAAGCUUAGAAUCUAUAACACCUUUAAAUGAAAACAAUGAUGAAGAAACAGCGAGUAUUUUUAACACAAAAACAGAAGAAAAAGCACUUAAAAGUAUGUUAUGUAAUUCAAACAAUGUGAAUGGAAACAGUGGUAGUAUAGAACAACAAAACUCAGAAGAAAGUCCUAAAAGAAAAAUGAAAUUUUUUAAAUUAUUAAAGGAAAGGUAUUUGCAAAGAUUAGAAAGAAAAAAGAUUAAAAAAAGAGGAAAAGGAGGAAGAGAAGGAGAAGAAGGAAUAGAAGGAGAAGAAGAAAGAGAAGGAGAAGAAGGAAUAGAAAGAGGAGAAGGAAUAGAAGGAAAAGAAGGAAUAGAAGGAAAAGAAGGAAUAGAAGGAAAAGAAGGAAUAGAAAGAGGAGAAGGAAUAGAAGGAGAAGAAGGAAUAGAAGGAGAAGAAGGAAUAGAAAGAGGAGAUGAAAAAAAAAAAAAUGAGGAACAAGAUAC